GAGUUUGAUCCUGGCUCAGAUUGAACGCUGGCGGCAGGCUUAACACAUGCAAGUCGAGCGGGGGAGAUUGCUUCGGUAAUUGACCUAGCGGCGGACGGGUGAGUAAUACUUAGGAAUCUGCCUAUUAAUGGGGGACAACAUCUCGAAAGGGAUGCUAAUACCGCAUACGCCCUACGGGGAAAGCAGGGGAUCACUUGUGACCUUGCGUUAAUAGAUGAGCCUAAGUCGGAUUAGCUAGUUGGUGGGGUAAAGGCCUACCAAGGCGACGAUCUGUAGCGGGUCUGAGAGGAUGAUCCGCCACACUGGGACUGAGACACGGCCCAGACUCCUACGGGAGGCAGCAGUGGGGAAUAUUGGACAAUGGGGGGAACCCUGAUCCAGCCAUGCCGCGUGUGUGAAGAAGGCCUUAUGGUUGUAAAGCACUUUAAGCGAGGAGGAGGCUCCUGUAGUUAAUACCUACAGAGAGCGGACGUUACUCGCAGAAUAAGCACCGGCUAACUCUGUGCCAGCCGCCGCGGU
RNAcentral lists this ribosomal RNA (519 nucleotides) under uncultured microorganism. Its description in RNAcentral is "bacterial SSU rRNA". It matches the Rfam family "Bacterial small subunit ribosomal RNA", at positions 9 to 521 of the family's 1533-position model. The record is from RNAcentral.